This is a long non-coding RNA of Gasterosteus aculeatus aculeatus (three-spined stickleback), 1299 nucleotides long. NCBI's taxonomy places the organism in Eukaryota, Metazoa, Chordata, Actinopteri, Perciformes, Gasterosteidae. The record is from Ensembl.
GCUAAUGACACAGACUUGUACCAUAUGAAAAUAAUUCAAUAUGCAAAAAUUGGAGUGUUGAAAUUUCAGGGUUAAAAAUUUCCGAGUUGAUUUUCACUCCCAGAGUAGAUGUAAUUAAGCUCCGCCCAUGCCUUUCACCUCUUCGGUUAGAGACAGAGAAGACAAGUCUGCACCAUUUUCUACCUCUCAUGCAGUACUACACGAAUUCUCUGAUUUCUCCUUGUCUUCUGAGACGUCUGACUCAAGCUUCAGCUCAAGUGCAUCAACUAUAAUCCUAGAUGUUCCUAACAAGAGACAAAGAAUUGAGGAUACACGUGAUGCUGUGUCUGCUAAACAGUUGAUAGAAGCUGUGCUAAGAGGCAAGUCUGGAGGUGAAGAAGUACUACAGAAGUACCAAACAACAGAAACCCUAACAGAUGCUGCAAGAAGACAAAUGGUUAAUUUCCUGGUGGCUCACAUGAUUGACAAUCAUGGGCACUGCCCCACUAAAACAAUCAGAGAAGAUUAUGCACGUGGGAUAGUGAUGCUGUUCCCUUCCCUUAAGGAUCCAUACUCCAAGAAGGGCUAUGAACACUUCUAUGAUGCUGCAAGCAGCACAGGAUACAUUUCUUGGCGUCUGAAAACAGUCCAGAGGAAGAUUCGUCAAGGAUCUGCACAGCCACUCUUUCAUCUCCUUCCACCACCUCCAGGGGGACUGAAGUCUCCAAAAAUUAGUGCAUGUGAUGCAGUUGAAAGACUUGUUGUAUUUCAUAAGUCAUGCUGCAGUUUGGAGGAGCAUCUCCGCAACCAGCAGGGUCGGCAGCCGUACCUCCUCGCUGUUGGGCGUCAGAAGAGCAAGAUUGACAGCCUCUACAUCACCAUGGAUAAGCGUCUCAUCCCAUGCAAGGCAAACCGCUUCCUCGGGGCAUGUGAUGAACUUUUCAAAGCACAUUUUGUGUUUAAUUUGUCUUACGAUGUGGCACUUGUGAAUUUUUAUACAUUCCUGCAGACAACAGUGUAUAACAUUGAUGUGGGGAAAAUGAAGGAGUCACCCAGAGUUAAAGACUUGAGAGCAAGACUGCUUAACCAGCCAGUAGCAUUCUCACCCUGUGAGUAAGAAGCUAUAACAAUGCUGACCUGUUUCAUGUGUUGAAAAACAAGCUAUUUACAGAGAAUUUUCAUGACCAUCAUCAUGCAUUCAGAGUAUUACAAAAUGCGGAAAGAUGUUUACUAAAAAUGUCUGCGCUUAAAUUUCAUAAACCGUUUCAUAUUCAAAGCUCAUACAAUGUUUUGGAUGGAAGUUUGUACAUUAUACCUUCA